This 2913-nucleotide long non-coding RNA is filed under the name Salmo salar (Atlantic salmon). RNAcentral describes it as "lncRNA (ENSSSAG00000091982.1)". Lineage: Eukaryota; Metazoa; Chordata; Actinopteri; Salmoniformes; Salmonidae. The record is from RNAcentral.
CGCAGGAAGUGUCUUCCAUGUCUUCUCUCUCGUCCUUCUUUUCUGCUGUGUUCCGCUUGUUCUUUUACUCAUCUUUUUGGUCUACAGGGCUGGCGUAAUGGCACAAGUGAGAACCUGGUGAGUGAAGGGGGUGCGUCAGCAUCAGACCCCCCGGGGAGCAGCAGAGAUCAGCUGUGACCAGACGGCCCGUACCACCCAGAGCCCCUACCCCAACUGCAGCAUCCCUAUCCUAGCAGGACAUCGUGUCCAGACAGCACGUCGACCUCUGACAUGUACACUGCGUACAGUGUUCUGAAGGUACCAGGUGGAAAGCAGGUUCUUUCACCAAGCCAUCCAAUCAGAAACAAAGAUGGACACACUGGACACACACAGCAACAUGAAGUCAACUAUGCCUCGCUGCAAUUCAGGGGCCAGGAGAUGGGUAGCUUGGGUCCUAGAGACCAAGCGAGAGAGGGUGACGUCUAUGCUAAGGAUGCCAAGCCAAAGCUGAAGGAAAAGACUGAUAAGUGCGAUGACUACGAGAACAUUAAGGAAGUGUGUGCUUCGAAGCCCACCAUCGAGCCAAACAUGGACACGGAGACAGGGAGCAGUGAGGAUGACGUGGAGAUCAGCUACUCUGAGGUCACGUUCAGAGCAAAGCCAAGACACGAGACAGUCUGUAGUUCUGACCCUCGCCACCGCAGAGCAGGCCACAGCAGCAGCUCAGAUGAAGAAGACUACACAACCCAGUAUACUGAUGUUAAAAUAUCAGAGGAAGUUUCAUUCAUAGUCAAAAAAAGUAUAAAGGUUUAUUUGUAAAUAUCUGUAAAUAUUUGUAUCACACCCAGUCAAAAGUGUGGACACACCUACUCAUUCAAGGGUUUUUCUUUAUUUUGACUAUUUUCUACAUUGUAGAAUUAUAGCGAAGACAUCAAAAUUAUGAAAUAACACAUAUGGAAUCAUGUAGUAACCAAAAAAGUGUUAAACAAUUAUAGCAAUUAUAAACAAUUAUAACAAUAUAUGUUAUAUAUCACAUUCUUCAAAGUAGCCACCCUUUGCCUUGAUGACAGCUUUGCACACGCUUGGCAUUCUCUCAACCAGUUUCAUGAGGUAGUCACCUGAUGUGCAUUUCAAUUAACAGGUUGUGCCUUGUUAAAAGUUAAUUUGUGGAAUUUCUUUCCUUCUUAAUGCGUUUCAGCCAAUCAGUUGUGUUGUGACAAGGUAGGGGUGGUAUACAGAAGAUAGCCCUAUUUGAUAAAAGACCAAGUCCAUAUAAUGGCAAGAAAAGCUCAAAUAAGCAAAGAGAAAUUGCAGUCCAUCAUUAAUUUAAGACACGAAGUUCAUUCAAUCUGGAAAAUUUCAAGAACUUUGAAAGUUUCUUAAAGUGCAGUUGCAAAACCAUCAAGCGCUAUGAUGAAACUGGCUCUCAUGAGGACCGCCACAGGAAAGGAGACCCAGAGUUACCUCUGCUGCAGAGGAUAAGUUGAUAAGUAGAGUUAACUGCACCUCACAUCACAGCCCAAAUAAAUGCUUCACAGAGUUCAAGUAACAGACACAUCUCAACAUCAACCGUUCAGAGGAGACUGUAUGAAUCAGGCUUUCAUGGUCGAAUUGCUGCAAAGAAACCACUACUAAAAGACACCAAUAAGAAGAAGAAACUUGCUUGGCCAAGAAACACGAGCAAUGCACAUUAGACCGGUGGAAAUCUGUCAUUUGGUCUGAUGAGUCCAAAUUUUAGAUUUUUGGUUCCAACCACUGUGUCUUUGAGACACAGAGUAGGUGAACGGAUGAUCGCCGCGUGUGUGGUUCCCACCGUGAAGCAUGGAGUAGGAGGUGUGAUGGUGUGGGGGUGCUUUGCUGGUGACACUGUCACUGAGUUAUUUAGAAUUCAAGUCACACUUAACCAGCAUGGCUACCACAGCAUUCUGCAGCGAUACACCAUCCCAUCUGGUUUGCGCUUAGCUGGUCAAUCAUUUGUUUUUCAACAGGACAAUGACCCAAAACACACCUCCAGGCUGUGUAAGGGCUAUUUGACCAAUAAGGAGAGUGAUGGAGUGCUGCAUCAGAUGACCUGGCCUCCACAAUCACCCAACCUCAACCAAAUUGAGAUGGUUUGGGAUGAGUUGGACUGCAGAGUGAAGGAAAAGCAGCCAACAAGUGCUCAGUAUAUGUGGGAACUCCUUCAAGACUGUUGGAAAAGCAUUCCUCAUGAAGCUGGUUGAGAGAAUUCCAAGAGUGUACAAAGCUGCCAUCAAGGCAAAGGAUGGCUACUUUGAAGGAUAUAAAAUAUAUUUUCAACACCUUUUUUGGUUACUACAUGAUUCCAAAUGUGUUAUUUCAUAGUUUUGAUGUCUUCACUAAUAUUCAACAAUGUAGAAAAUAGUAAAAAUAAAGAAAACCCCUUGAAUGAGUAGGUGUGGCCAAACUUUUGACUAGUGCUUUAUAUCUGGAUUGUUAGCAAUAAAAACACAUUCAAGUAUCGGUAGUUGCCUUAACUGUACUUUUAAAUUAUAAGUCAGUCAACACCAAAAUGUCAGGAAACAGAAUUUAUUGACGUCAUUCAAAGUGGGUUUGAACAUCGUGUGGUACAUCAAUGCAAUGUGUGCUUACUUGGCUGUCAAAAUAGAAAUGCUUCACUGUUUAGGAAUUUCCCAUAUUUCAGGAUGUGCUAUUGUGUAGAUGCUAUGCAACUGGCACCAUGUUUUAAUAUUUGUUCAACAUUGUAAUGUGUGUCAUUACUGACUUCUUACUUUACAUAAUUACUGAAUCAUGCUGAAAUUACUGACUGCUUGUAACCUGUAUUCACCUGUAUUCAUUGUAAAUACAUUAACAAAAAAUAAAUAUACAAUAACAACAAAAAUACAACAUGUUGAAGUGAUUCAUAACCAUCACACACAUUUUGUAAGUUCUUAAAUACACAUUUUCUGUAACGCU